GAUGAACGCUGGCGGCGUGCCUAAUACAUGCAAGUCGAGCGAACGGACGAGAAGCUUGCUUCUCUGAUGUUAGCGGCGGACGGGUGAGUAACACGUGGAUAACCUACCUAUAAGACUGGGAUAACUUCGGGAAACCGGAGCUAAUACCGGAUAAUAUUUUGAACCGCAUGGUUCAAAAGUAAAAGACGGUCUUGCUGUCACUUAUAGAUGGAUCCGCGCUGCAUUAGCUGGUUGGUAAGGUGACGGCUUACCAAGGCAACGAUGCAUAGCCGACCUGAGAGGGUGAUCGGCCACACUGGAACUGAGACACGGUCCAGACUCCUACGGGAGGCAGCAGUAGGGAAUCUUCCGCAAUGGGCGAAAGCCUGACGGAGCAACGCCGCGUGAGUGAUGAAGGUCUUCGGAUCGUAAAACUCUGUUAUUAGGGAAGAACAUAUGUGUAAGUAACUGUGCACAUCUUGACGGUACCUAAUCAGAAAGCCACGGCUAACUACGUG
This 497-nucleotide ribosomal RNA is filed under the name uncultured bacterium. RNAcentral's name for it is "partial 16S ribosomal RNA". It matches the Rfam family "Bacterial small subunit ribosomal RNA", at positions 28 to 507 of the family's 1533-position model. The record is from RNAcentral.